Ribosomal RNA from Phytophthora infestans T30-4, 2121 nucleotides. It matches the Rfam family "Eukaryotic large subunit ribosomal RNA", at positions 24 to 1888 of the family's 3401-position model. The record is from Rfam. Lineage: Eukaryota; Oomycota; Peronosporomycetes; Peronosporales; Peronosporaceae.
CCCGCUGAACUUAAGCAUAUUAAUAAGCGGAGGAAAAGAAACUAACAAGGAUUCCCCUAGUAACGGCGAGUGAAGCGGGAAGAGCUCAAGCUUAAAAUCUCCGUGCAAGUUUUGCGCGGCGAAUUGUAGUCUAUAGAGGCGUGAUCAGUGUGGGCGCUUGGGGCAAGUUCCUUGGAAGAGGACAGCAUGGAGGGUGAUACUCCCGUUCAUCCCUGAGUUGCUCGUGCGUACGAUCCGUUUUCUUUGAGUCGCGUUGUUUGGGAAUGCAGCGCAAAGUAGGUGGUAAAUUCCAUCUAAAGCUAAAUAUUGGUGCGAGACCGAUAGCGAACAAGUACCGUGAGGGAAAGAUGAAAAGAACUUUGAAAAGAGAGUUAAAGAGUACCUGAAACUGCUGAAAGGGAACCGAAUCGUUUCCAGUGUCUAUAAUCCGUGGUAUAUUUCAUUGGCGAGUGUGUGCGUGCGUGUGCUGUGGCAGCGGCUUUUUUGGCUGCGCUCGGCGUGUGUGCUGUGUGUGCUUGCUGGUGCCCUGUGCUGCGGUGGGACGUCAAGGUCAGUUCGUAUGCUGCGGGAAAUGGCCGCCGAGGAGGUAGGGCUUACGCUUGCGUUUGUCUGUUAUAUCUUGGUGGACGAGUAGUCGCGGUUGGGACUGAGGUGCCUACAACGUGUUUUUGAGUGGGCCUGUGUCUCUGUGUGCGCCGUGUGCGGAUAGCUUGCUAUGCGUGUGUGGUUGUGUGUGGAUUGAUGUGGGUUUUAACUUGUUGCCGUUCGGGACGUUGACGAAAUGGAGCGAUUUGACCCGUCUUGAAACACGGACCAAGGAGUCUAACAUGUGUGCAAGUGUUAGGGUGUGGAAACCCCAGCGCGAAAUGAAAGUGAAGGGCAGCGUAAGUUGUCUGAGGUAGGAAAUGCUGCGGGCUUCGGUCUGCGGUGUGGCACUAUCGACCGAUCAUGAACCUUCGUGGUGAAAGAUUUGAGUUUGAGCACAUAUGUUGGUACCCGAAAGAUGGUGAACUAUGCCUGAGUAGGGUGAAGCCAGGGGAAACUCUGGUGGAAGCUCGUAGCGAUUCUGACGUGCAAAUCGAUCGUCAAACUUGGGUAUAGGGGCGAAAGACUAAUCGAACCAUCUAGUAGCUGGUUCCCUCCGAAAUUUCCCUCAGGAUAGCAGCAACUUAUUUACGAUAGUUUUAUGAGGUAAAGCGAAUGAUUAGAGGAUUCGGGGAAGAAACUUCCUCGACCUAUUCUCAAACUUUAAAUCUGUAAGACCUGCAGGUUUCUUAAUUGAACUUGUGGAUGUGAAUAUCAAGUUGCUAGUGGGCCAUACGGGGUAAGCUCGUCUGGCGAUGCGGGAUGAACCGAACGCAAAGUUAAAGUGCCAAAAUGCUCGCUCACCUAGAUACCAUAAAAGGUGUUGGUUCAUUUAGACAGCAGGACGGUGGCCAUGGAAGUCGGAAUCCGCUAAGGAGUGUGUAACAACUCACCUGCCGAAUGAACUAGCCCUGAAAAUGGAUGGCGCUAAAGCGGGCUACUUAUACUUUGCCGUUAGCGCGAUAGCAUUUAUAAUGUACGCGUUAAUGAGUAGGAGGGCGUGAAGGUCGUGAAGAAGCUCGUGGCGUGAGCCUGAGUGAAACGGCCUUUAGUGCAGAUCUUGGUGGUAGUAGCAAAUAUUCAAAUGCGAACUUUGAAGACUGAAGUGGAGAAAGGUUCCGUGUGAUCAGUAAUUGGACACGGGUGAGUCGAUCCUAAGAGAUAGGAUAAUUCCGUUUGAAAGCUGGGCUGUUUGAGGCGUGGGGUUCGUCCUUGCGUUUUGUAUGCAGCCUCGUGUAUCGAAAGGGAAUCAGGUUAAUAUUCCUGAACCGAGACGUGGAUAAUAUGUGGUAACACAACCGACCCAGGAGACGCUAGCGUGUGCCCAGGGAAGAGUUCUCUUUUCUUUUUAACAAGCAUAUCCUACCUUGGAAACGGAUUAUCCGGCGAUAAGGAGGAUGCCUUGGCAAAGCACUUUACUUUUUGAAGUGUCCUGCGCGCCCACGACAGCCCUUGAAAAUCCUGGCUAGAGAUUUAUUCGCACCCUCGUUCGUACUCAUAACCGCAUCAGGUCUCCAAGGUUAGCAGCCUCUAGUU